Molecule: ribosomal RNA, 359 nt
Filed under: uncultured bacterium
Lineage: Bacteria
Description: bacterial SSU rRNA
Rfam family: Bacterial small subunit ribosomal RNA
Source: RNAcentral
AGCGAACGCUGGCGGCAGGCCUAAUACAUGCAAGUCGAGCGCACCUUCGGGUGAGCGGCGGACGGGUGAGUAACGCGUGGGAAUGUGCCCUCUGGUACGGAACAACUGAGGGAAACUUCAGCUAAUACCGUAUGUGCCCUUCGGGGAAGAUUUAUCGCCAUUGGAGCAGCCCGCGUUGGAUUAGGUAGUUGGUGAGGUAAAGGCUCACCAAGCCUACGAUCCAUAGCNGGUCUGAGAGGAUGAUCAGCCACACUGGGACUGAGACACGGCCCAGACUCCUACGGGAGGCAGCAGUAGGGAAUCUUGCGCAAUGGGCGAAAGCCUGACGCAGCCAUGCCGCGUGAAUGAUGAAGGUCUUA